Cornus florida is the source of this 423-nucleotide long non-coding RNA. RefSeq lists it as uncharacterized. The record is from RefSeq and is a predicted model, not a curated record. The transcript has 2 exons. NCBI's taxonomy places the organism in Eukaryota, Viridiplantae, Streptophyta, Magnoliopsida, Cornales, Cornaceae.
CUCCCUCUCUCUCUAACCCCUCAUUUUCUCACUCUAUAUCCAUCUUUAUGCAAUAAAUGUCUUCCACAUUUUAAGCUUGUUUUUAGAGUGAUUAAAGUGAGAUUUUUAUGAAGCCAUAGGUAAGGAAGUUGAUGAGUUGAGGAGAGCUUUUAAUUGAGACCAAUCUUGCAAGGGGCUAGGAAUUUCGAAUUUGGGGGCUGUUUUGAAGAUCUUGCUUGGUUGAGGAUACGGAAAGGAAGAGGCGGAAGACAUUUCCCCACAGGCUUAGACAAGACUUGACAGACUUUCUUGUGUUAAUUUUCUAUUAUAUAUACAAGUUUUGUAAAACUUUAAACUUGUUUUGUAUCUCUAUCGUAAGCUUAUGUUUUGGGACUGUAAUCGGAUGUAUUGUUUCAUGUAAAUGAACUUUUGGUUUUUCGUCUA